This 498-nucleotide ribosomal RNA is filed under the name Pristionchus pacificus. RNAcentral describes it as "SSU rRNA". It matches the Rfam family "Eukaryotic small subunit ribosomal RNA", at positions 454 to 976 of the family's 1831-position model. Lineage: Eukaryota; Metazoa; Nematoda; Chromadorea; Rhabditida; Neodiplogasteridae. The record is from RNAcentral.
AUUCGAGGAGGUAGUGACUAUCAAUAACGAGACAGAUCUCUUUGAGGUCUGUCAUUGCAAUGAGCACAACUUAAAGACUUUAACGAAGUCUAUGGGAGGGCAAGUCUGGUGCCAGCAGCCGCGGUAAUUCCAGCUCCCAACGUGUAUAUCGUCAUUGCUGCGGUUAAAAAGCUCGUAGUUGGAUCUUAGCUCAUGUCGGUAGUUCUCCAUGUGAGAUACUGCUCGGCUGAGCUGUUUCGCCGGUUUUCCGUAGUUUCGGCUGCGGUGACUGGUGUUGUAACUUUGAUUAAAUCAAUGUGAUUAAAACAGGCGUUUGCUUGAAUGCUUUAUCAUGGAAUAAUAGAAUAUGACUUCGGUCCAUUCUGUUGGUCUUGGGAUCGAAGUAAUGAUUAAAAGGAACAACUCGGGGGCAUCCGUAUCGCUGCGUGAGAGGUGAAAUUCUUGGACCGCAGCGAGACGACCUAUUGCGAAAGCAUUUGCCAAGAAUGUUUUCAUUAA